GAGAAGGGCGUUUGGUGAAUGCCUUGGCAGUAAGAGGCGAUGAAGGACGUGAUACUCUGCGAUAAGCCAUGGGGAGCUGAGAAUAUGCUUUGAUCCAUGGAUUUCCGAAUGGGGCAACCCACCUGAAAUUGUGUUAUUGUUACGCUCCGGCGUGAUCAAUAAUGCGGUUAACCAGGUACUUUUAACCUGAAUACAUAGGGUUUUAAGAGCAAACCCGG
This 218-nucleotide ribosomal RNA is filed under the name Florenciella parvula. RNAcentral's name for it is "partial Bacterial large subunit ribosomal RNA". It matches the Rfam family "Bacterial large subunit ribosomal RNA", at positions 1 to 188 of the family's 2925-position model. Lineage: Eukaryota; Dictyochophyceae; Florenciellales. The record is from RNAcentral.